This 86-nucleotide microRNA precursor is filed under the name Solanum tuberosum (potato). Its description in RNAcentral is "MIR8024 microRNA precursor family". It matches the Rfam family "MIR8024 microRNA precursor family". Lineage: Eukaryota; Viridiplantae; Streptophyta; Magnoliopsida; Solanales; Solanaceae. The record is from Rfam by way of RNAcentral.
UUAGAGGAUUUAAAGACUCCAACUUGUAUACUCGGAGGAUUUGAAAACUUCAACUUGCAUACUUGAAAAAUUUAAAGACUUCAACU